RNAcentral lists this ribosomal RNA (766 nucleotides) under uncultured Streptococcus sp. RNAcentral describes it as "bacterial SSU rRNA". It matches the Rfam family "Bacterial small subunit ribosomal RNA", at positions 28 to 776 of the family's 1533-position model. The record is from RNAcentral. Lineage: Bacteria; Bacillati; Bacillota; Bacilli; Lactobacillales; Streptococcaceae.
GAUGAACGCUGGCGGCGUGCCUAAUACAUGCAAGUAGAACGCUGAAGCUUGGUGCUUGCACCGAGCGGAGGAGUUGCGAACGGGUGAGUAACGCGUAGGUAACCUGCCUCUUAGCGGGGGAUAACUAUUGGAAACGAUAGCUAAUACCGCAUAAAAGUCGACAUUGCAUGAUGUUGACUUGAAAGGUGCAACUGCAUCACUAAGAGAUGGACCUGCGUUGUAUUAGCUAGUUGGUGAGGUAACGGCUCACCAAGGCGACGAUACAUAGCCGACCUGAGAGGGUGAUCGGCCACACUGGGACUGAGACACGGCCCAGACUCCUACGGGAGGCAGCAGUAGGGAAUCUUCGGCAAUGGACGGAAGUCUGACCGAGCAACGCCGCGUGAGUGAAGAAGGUUUUCGGAUCGUAAAGCUCUGUUGUAAGAGAAGAACGAGUGUGAGAGUGGAAAGUUCACACUGUGACGGUAACUUACCAGAAAGGGACGGCUAACUACGUGCCAGCAGCCGCGGUAAUACGUAGGUCCCGAGCGUUAUCCGGAUUUAUUGGGCGUAAAGCGAGCGCAGGCGGUUAGAUAAGUCUGAAGUUAAAGGCUGUGGCUUAACCAUAGUACGCUUUGGAAACUGUUUAACUUGAGUGCAGAAGGGGAGAGUGGAAUUCCAUGUGUAGCGGUGAAAUGCGUAGAUAUAUGGAGGAACACCGGUGGCGAAAGCGGCUCUCUGGUCUGUAACUGACGCUGAGGCUCGAAAGCGUGGGGGAGCAAACAGG